Long non-coding RNA from Esox lucius (northern pike), 697 nucleotides. Lineage: Eukaryota; Metazoa; Chordata; Actinopteri; Esociformes; Esocidae. The record is from Ensembl.
GUUACUGGUAGCUGAACACAAGUUCUAAACCAUUGGUGGGAAAACAAGUUAUAGAAACUGAGCUUGGAAAAAACACAGCUGGCCUGAGAUGAAAUACCUGCAGUAACCCUUGUUUUUCGUGUGCCCACAAGUUUGGUUGUUUACUAUUUGGUUGUUUGGUUGUUUACAAUUGAACAGGUAUGGUCUAAAUCAUGUUUCUUAGGGUAUCAACAAGUUGAUGAUGUUUUCUGUAGUUUUGUUCCCGGUGGAGGAUGACUGUGUAGCAGUAGUUCCACGCCAGGUAUAUGUUGAUCUUGUAAUUGUUGCAAUGUUUACUUGGUUUCACCAUAUUUACCAGUUCACCAACUUUUAUGUUUAUUUUUAGGAUGGAGCAAGCACAGUACUACAGGGAACCAGAGAGGUACUCCGCGCCACCAUGUCGAGGAUGGCUACAUAGGGCAAGAAGGCAGAGGUAGGCGGACAUUUUAGCUCUGCACAUGAAUAAGAUCAAGUGGCUGACUGAAGAGAAAGUCGAGGUGAGGGCACAGCUGGCUCUACAAUCAGGAGCCAUAAGGAAGAAUCUUUCCAACUGGGAUGCCACUGAUGAGGCUGUCCAGAACCAGGUCCCCAGGUACCAGAAAGGGGCAGCUGACCAUGCAGGUGGGUGAUGUUGCGGCGUUUCAAGGGACCUGCCGUGAAUAUGAAUGACAUCUCCAGC